Molecule: transfer RNA, 71 nt
Filed under: Stegodyphus mimosarum
Lineage: Eukaryota; Metazoa; Arthropoda; Arachnida; Araneae; Eresidae
Rfam family: tRNA
About the family: Transfer RNA (tRNA) molecules are approximately 80 nucleotides in length. Their secondary structure includes four short double-helical elements and three loops (D, anti-codon, and T loops).
Source: Rfam by way of RNAcentral
GCCUUCGUGGUGUAACGGUAGCACACUCGGCAUGUAUUCGAGAGGUCCAGGUUCGAGUCCCAGUGAAGGCA